Molecule: ribosomal RNA, 504 nt
Filed under: Phoma herbarum
Lineage: Eukaryota; Fungi; Ascomycota; Dothideomycetes; Pleosporales; Didymellaceae
Description: eukaryotic LSU rRNA
Rfam family: 5.8S ribosomal RNA (bases 144-297)
Source: RNAcentral
AAAAACAAGUAUUUGCGGGCUUUGCCUGCUAUCUCUUACCCAUGUCUUUUGAGUACUUACGUUUCCUCGGCGGGUCCGCCCGCCGAUUGGACAAUUUAAACCCUUUGCAGUUGCAAUCAGCGUCUGAAAAACAUAAUAGUUACAACUUUCAACAACGGAUCUCUUGGUUCUGGCAUCGAUGAAGAACGCAGCGAAAUGCGAUAAGUAGUGUGAAUUGCAGAAUUCAGUGAAUCAUCGAAUCUUUGAACGCACAUUGCGCCCCUUGGUAUUCCAUGGGGCAUGCCUGUUCGAGCGUCAUUUGUACCUUCAAGCUUUGCUUGGUGUUGGGUGUUUGUCUCGCCUUUGCGUGUAGACUCGCCUUAAAAGAAUUGGCAGCCGGCGUAUUGAUUUCGGAGCGCAGUACAUCUCGCGCUUUGCACUCAUAACGACGACGUCCAAAAGUACAUUUUUACACUCUUGACCUCGGAUCAGGUAGGGAUACCCGCUGAACUUAAGCAUAUCAAU